This 253-nucleotide ribosomal RNA is filed under the name uncultured bacterium. Its description in RNAcentral is "partial 16S ribosomal RNA". It matches the Rfam family "Archaeal small subunit ribosomal RNA", at positions 474 to 727 of the family's 1478-position model. The record is from RNAcentral.
UACCCGCAGCCCAAGUGGUGCUCGUUAUUAUUGGGCCUAAAACGUCCGUAGCCGGACCUGUAAAUCCAUGUGGAAAUCGGAGGGCCUAACCCUCCGAAGGGCGUGGACACUGCAGGCCUUGGGACUGGGUGAGUUCGGAGGUACUUCCGGGGUAGGGGUGAAAUCCUGUAAUCCUGGGAGGACCACCAGUGGCGAAGGCGUCCGAAUAGAACGGAUCCGACGGUCAGGGACGAAGCCCUGGGGCGCAAACGGG